AGGGCCAGGAUAGGAAAAAAAAUCAGCCAGGGACAGAGAGCGUAGAGAGUGUAGGGAUUUUUAAUCUCAAUGUCACCCGAGAUAUAGACCCGGACCUGGACUGCACCGGCGGACCGCGUGUGAAUCCCCCUUCUCCUUCCCCGUAUGACAACGCCCCUGAAGCCGCCUCAUCGGACAAUCUCUACCCUGACCUCGAAGAAGAGGAGAAAGCCCCCGCUCGCAGCGCGAGAGAAGAUAGGCCUGCAACUCGUAGCCAGGGGAAAGCUCCACAGCAGGCGACGGCCACACCGACCAAGCGGGAACCCGUCGCCAGCCGCCAGCCGCUUGAGGAACCAGGGAAUGGCGUUCUCCCCAACUCCUCAACAUGGGGACGUGAUGGAUGGACAAUUCCCCAUGAUCGAAGUACUGAACCCCCAGGAUGACAGUCCAGCAUACGUUUUCCGUGCAUGGAGACCCAGUGACAUUAAGGACAUAGCGGAAUGGCUCCCAGACCCAUCUGUAGUCGGGGGGGCUGCCUCCGCCACAGCCCUUCAAGAGUUGGUCCAACAACUCAAGGCCUCCAUCAGCGAAGUUCGCCAACUCUGAGCGUACAGACUGACCCUAAGGUGGGGUCGGAUCCAAGGCGACAUGCCCGGGAGGGACGAAGCUGAUUUAAUGUUCAAUUGGGAUCAAGGGUCCGUGUACCACCGGCUGGUAGAGGGACUGUGUGAACGGGCCAGGAGGGCGUUCCCCAUGGUUAGAGAUUGGACCGCUAUUCGAAAAAUCAAACAAAUAGAAGGCGAGACGGUGGCUGACUUGAUGGACCGCGUUGAAAAGGUGUUCAAGAUCCACGGGGGAGUGCCUGUACCAACCGACCAAGUGGUCCAGACUCCGUACGAAGAAAAUCUCACCGCGGCCUUCCUGGAUGCGUUGGCCGACAAAAUAUCGGAAUUCAUAGAGACACACUGCAUUGGGUGGCGUACCGCCAGACUUGAUUUGAUUAUAAGUCACGCGACCCACGCAGAAAACCUCUUCAUGAAGAAAGAAAAGCUCAGGAACAAUAGAGACAAAGAGAUAACCAAGAAGCUUCACCUCGCCCAACUGGAGGCCCUGGAGGAUCCUAAGCCCACCCGUCCUGACAAAGACCAAAGAACCGACCGGCCAGAAGGGAGAAAGUCCCGUGGAUUAAUCAACCGGGACUGUUUGUAUUGUGGCUCCAAGGAUCAUUGGUUAAAAGAUUGUCCCAUUAGAAAUGAGGAAAACGAUGAAGCGGACGACUGGGAAUAAUCAUCCCAGAGGCAGAGGUGAAAGGGGGCAUUCGCAUUGACGGGACGCAGGAGCAGGCCAGGUCCAAGGAGGAGGUAUGAGCACCAUAACACAAACACAACGCACACAAGCACCACAUCCAAAUGAUUGUUGUAUGGUUUUCACCAGCCUUACGCGACCUAAUCAGCUACAUUUAAUAUUAUAUACAAUCUAUCACAACCAGUUUAAUGGUCAACCAUAUCACACAGCCAUGACAUGACCCUGACCGACCCCGACUGACCCCCGACUGACAACGUGACGGGGACAACAGAAGUGUGUUGCCUAAUAUUGAAAAUGCAGAUUUUUAUAUUAUGAUAUUUUGUUAAUGUUUUAUGGCCAAAAUGGCAACAAGGUGAAUUGACGAACGUAUGAGAGAGAUUGGAAGAAGUAUGUGUUAUGGAAGGAGAAGAGAUAGAUGAGAACGGAAGGCAAGACAAGAUAAGGAAAGGGGUGGGGAGAAAGAUAACCCAUCUGCAUCAAGUUUUGUUCAAAUAGAUCCGGACCUGGACAACGCUCCUCCUUCUCCUGCUUUCAGCCCGACCAGUGGCCCAAUCCAGUGCUAAUACCCCACGUCACGACUCCUCUACAUCUGACUUUAUGAAGUUACAGACCAUGGGAGGCCCACCUGAAGAGCUACGGAACGGUCUGCUGGACGACACAAGGAGACAGUCCAGCAGGACCAACAGCACCAGAGUGGUGGCCUCCAUGGUGCCUGUGUAGCCACGAGGAAGUGGCCUGAACAAAGAGACAAAGGAGGGUCUCAGAGACGGGAGAGACGUGGGGACAGGCACUUCAAAGGACAGCCCGUGAUGCGGAUGAGAGGCAGGAAGCAGAGAGAGAGGUGGAGGCGUGUCCAGGCGGAUGGAGAGAAGAGCAGUGUCCCUCAGAGACAUCAUGAAGGACAAUGGGAAAGAGAAGAAGAAUACCGUUUAAAUGUUGGGUUAUACUGUGUGUUAUUAAUACUGACUGGAUUGACAAUUAAUGUUUAGAGUAGUAAACAUUAAGUGCUUGCCAACUACUCAUGUGUUUGUAUCAUGGAAGCAGCAUUAAGGACACAUCAAAUACGAAGAAUAUUUUUUUAGUUUUUAUGUUUUUAAAAGGUAGCCUUGUUUCUUUGUUUUAGUUAUUUUUAUUUUCGUUUUUAUGACUUUUUUUGAAUAUAUGUUUAUGGGGAUAAUUAUCAAAAGGGGGGAUUCCCAAAGAAAUUAUCCAGUGACAAUGGUUCACAUUUGGUGAACCAAGUCAUCCAACAGAAUUGACCCACGCAACCAUUGUGCGUACCACCCUCGGAGUGGUGGGACAGUAGAGAGGGAGAGUGGUCCCGUAGAGAACAACGUCUACGGGACAACAAGCCAAGGCAACUGCAGAUACAGCCCAAGGCAGGGCGACUCCACGAUACAUGGAUUACUAUCAGAGACGUGCCUGGAAUUCACCAAGGUGGUUGGAAUCAUUCCAAGUCCUGUGGAUCACAGCAAGGUAGCUAAGAGUGCUACCCAGACCCACGCCAGCCACUGCAAGCGGGCACCAUCACCAACAACAAAGGUCACUUCCGACCCAACCCCCCUGGCCGUCACCCCACACUGAAACCAGGGUGAAGUGCAAGUAACUCACCCUUACACACACAAUCACGUCAGAACCAGGCCCAAAAGACUGUCUCUGGCCUGGGGAGAGAUGGGUCCAGAAUCGACAUCAUUCAGAAUGGACGCCAGCCCUGGACCACUAUCUGAUGGGAUUGAUAGUGUGAUGGAAGUUUAAUUGUAUUUUUCCAGGUGAUGUUAGGUGAUUUUAUGCUACCUUCUGUAAAAGCGAACGGUGGUAUAAAUAUCUGUACUUGGAGGCCAUGGUUGGACAUAGUAGAUUAUGAACAUAUGCAUGUUUUGAUUAAGUGAUCAUUUUAAUCCUAAAGGUUGCAUCAUUUUGUGAUUAUAAAUAAUCAAAGGGGGGAUUGUGAUGGAAAAUCUACAUGUUGUAUUGUUUUGGUCUAUAUGAAUUUAAGUUUUGUUGCUAUUCUGUGUAAUUUUAUAUAGUGUCUGCCUUCUGCUCUCCUUUUGGGUCAUUUAAAGUGUGAACGUUC
Molecule: long non-coding RNA, 3358 nt
Organism: Gadus macrocephalus (Pacific cod)
Lineage: Eukaryota; Metazoa; Chordata; Actinopteri; Gadiformes; Gadidae
Exons: 2
Source: RefSeq, a predicted model, not a curated record